GAUGAACGCUGGCGGCGUGCCUAAUACAUGCAAGUCGAACGAACAGACGAGGAGCUUGCUCCUCUGUCGUUAGCCGCGGACGUGUGAAACACACGUGGAUAACCUACCUAUAUGUCUGGGAUCACUUCGGGAAACCGGAGCAAAUCCGGGAUAAUAUCUUGAACCGCAGGGUUCGAUAGAAAAAUACGGCUUUUCGGGCUCUUAUAGAUGGAUCCGCGCCGCAUUAGCUGGUUGUUAAGUUAACGGGUUACCAAGGCAACGAUGCGUAGCCGACCUGAGAGGGGGAUAGGCCACAUGGGAACGUGGACACGGUCCAGACGCCUACGGGAGGCAGCAGUAGGGAAUCUUCCGCAAUGGGCGAAAGCCUGACGGAGCAACGCCGCGUGAGAGAUGAAGGUCUUCGGAUCGUAAAACUCUGUUAUUAGGGAAGAACAAAUGUGUAAGUAACUAUGCACGUCUUGACGGUACCGGGUCAGAAAGCCCCGGCUAACUACGUG
Molecule: ribosomal RNA, 497 nt
Filed under: uncultured bacterium
Lineage: Bacteria
Description: partial 16S ribosomal RNA
Rfam family: Bacterial small subunit ribosomal RNA
Source: RNAcentral